AGUAACGCGUAUGCAACUUGCCUAUCAGAGGGGGAUAACCCGGCGAAAGUCGGACUAAUACCGCAUGAAGCAGGGGCCCCGCAUGGGGAUAUUUGCUAAAGAUUCAUCGCUGAUAGAUAGGCAUGCGUUCCAUUAGGCAGUUGGCGGGGUAACGGCCCACCAAACCGACGAUGGAUAGGGGUUCUGAGAGGAAGGUCCCCCACAUUGGUACUGAGACACGGACCAAACUCCUACGGGAGGCAGCAGUGAGGAAUAUUGGUCAAUGGCCGAGAGGCUGAACCAGCCAAGUCGCGUGAGGGAUGAAGGUUCUAUGGAUCGUAAACCUCUUUUAUAAGGGAAUAAAGUGCGGGACGUGUCCCGUUUUGUAUGUACCUUAUGAAUAAGGAUCGGCUAACUACGUGCCAG
This 405-nucleotide ribosomal RNA is filed under the name Parabacteroides distasonis. Its description in RNAcentral is "bacterial SSU rRNA". It matches the Rfam family "Bacterial small subunit ribosomal RNA", at positions 109 to 511 of the family's 1533-position model. Lineage: Bacteria; Pseudomonadati; Bacteroidota; Bacteroidia; Bacteroidales; Tannerellaceae. The record is from RNAcentral.